RNAcentral lists this long non-coding RNA (4399 nucleotides) under Homo sapiens (human). RNAcentral's name for it is "HSALNT0313991". The record is from RNAcentral. Lineage: Eukaryota; Metazoa; Chordata; Mammalia; Primates; Hominidae.
AAUUAGAGAUGUGAGCCCCGAUGCCAACUGUCUACAGGUUGAAGUUAUAAAGGUAAAAACUUGGUCCAGCAAAUCUUCCUCUCCUUUCACUCCAGGAUUCACUUUUCUUAGUGCCCAAGUAAUAUUUAUGAGGCUCUUGUUAUUUAGCUGUUGUAUUAUAUUUAUGUUAAAUACAUUUCUAACAAAUUCUACUGCAUUUACAUUUAUUAUUCAACAAGACAUCACAAUAUGAUAGCAGAUAAUGAUGAAUCUCCAGAUAAUUCUUACCGCUAAGUCUUCAGUUGUCUAAAGUCACACACACACACAUACACACAUACACAUACACACAUAUGCACACACACAGAGUCAGAGUUUGGAUUACCAAAUGAGAAAUAAUUCCUUAGUGUGUGCAGUACUUUUUGCUCUCAAAUGUUUCUUUUCUUCACACAUACUUAUUUGACCCAUUCAGCUAAAAGCAACAUGCAUCUUACUAAUUCUAUAAAUGUGUAUACUAGAGUUCUUACCUUUUUGAAAGAUUAAUUAAUACAGUCAUGGCUAAUUAUCUGUAACUGGUUAUAUGAGCAAGGCCAUUAUACACAGUGAACAUUAUAAAGAUAAUCAUUUUUCUUUAGCCUCUCAGCACAGGUCAGGAUAAAACCGUAAUAUCCUUCAUAAAUAGGAACACUGGCCAUCACUGGAGAGUAAAAUGACCACUGGUCCAGUCUGGUAAAUAUUCGUUCAUGGUUAUGCUCUUAAAAAGUGUUUAGGAAAUAAGAGAGAAAAAAAUAGGAAAAAAAUUACAAAAAAAAAAAAACCCAAACACAUAUAGACUUGAAGAGUUGCUCUCAGAUCAAAAUAUCCUGCAAUAAUCUGAAGUAGAAAAGUAUCAUUAUGACCUAAGAAGGUUCAUGAAAAUGUUUCUCAUCAUAGUAGCUCAGAAGGACUGAUUUAGAAUGUUGCCCAUGGAUUUCUGUUUGCUUGCCUGUGUAAAUAAAUACAUGUAUAGAUGGGGGAGAAAUUUGAUUUUAACACAUAGCCUUAGUGUUCAACUUUAAGUUACAUAAGAUGGGUCUGGGGACAUUAUCUUAAAUUUGGAUUUCUGAAAAAUAUGUAGGUCUGGCUCUGAAAUCUGAGUUUUAAUCCAUAUUCUAAAAAUUUGCAAACUAAAGCUUCCUCUUUUUUCUUCACAGAGGCUUAGGCACAUCAUGUUGAAGGGAGCAAUUUGGGAAGGAUAAAGCUGUUGAUGAAUGGCCAAAAAAGGACAAGUUAAGGGGAAAAAUUGGAACCAAAGAGCCCAGAUUGUGAGUUCCUUGAAAGAAGAAUCUGUGUCUUGUGCACCAUUGUUCUUCCUUACCUGUAACAGAAACCCUGGCACCAGGUAGGCAAGUCUUUGAUAAAUAUUUCUGGAUUGAUUAAGUUGUAUUUAUUCAUUAAAUGUAUGCCAAUUUCCUUUGUUUUUGCUACUAUCCUAGCAUUGCAUGUUACUUCCAUGAAGCUGAUCUAUGAAAGCAAAAUAUUAACAUCUUAUGGCAGGUAAUUUUUGCCUUGAUAGCCUGUGAUGAGUUACUGACUGCUUGUUAGAAAUGUCACUGCCUUGUUCCUGUUAGGCUUACAGCUGACAUGUUGAAAAAUUUAUUCAAUGUAUAAAAAAGCUCUACAAAGAUAUUCAUUGUAUCACUGUUUAUAAUUGGGAAUUGUUUGGAUAGUCGAAUGAGCUGUGUUACAUCCAAACUAUGAAACAUUAUGCAACAAUUACGAAGAAGAAGGUAGAUCUAUGUCUUAUAAAAUAAAUUGAUAUUCUACUUAAAAAAAAGCAAAUGGCUAAAAGAUACUUUCAGUACAAUACCAUAUUUAAAAACUGCAGUGUACUUUCUGUGGUUACCAUAGAGGUAUAGUUAUAACAGAGGCAUAUGGACAUAUGGAAAAUAACCAUAGAACUCAUAUUAAACUCACUUAUGUGAUCAGUGGCUACAUCUAGAAAGGUAGAGAGGGGACCAAGAAUAAGGCUUGGAGGUCAAAAGCGACUUCUUUGAAAUGUUUUUUUUUUUAUGGAUAAUGUUUUAGUUUUUUAAUAAAGAGUUCUUAGUUAUAAAAUUAAUCUUAAACAUGUUGAUACUUGAUACAUUUGAAAGAUAAAAAUAUAUAACCUAUGAACAAUUAUGUAAAAAUAUACCGUCCAUGUAUCAAUUUAUAUAAAGGUAGAAUGCUAAAAAUGAAAAUUUGGCCUAUAGUAAACAUCUCUAAAUCAAAACAUUUUCUUUCAUAAUAAAUAAAAGAGAAGGAAUUAGCUAUAUUCUAUUAGCUCAUAAUUGUGUGGAUAGUAGGAUGAAAUAAAAAUGACUACAUAAGUCAGAAACAUAAAAACAGCCAUUGAUUUAGAAUCUGUUGACAUGAAGGCCACCCCGGCUCCACCACAUCUUGAACUAGAUGAGUCAUAAACUCCAGAGUAUCCAUUAUGCUAACCUAUAAAGUCAAGGUGGAAACUAGAGUAGUGAUUCUCAAACCUACAAGUCAUGAUUCUCUUGGGGGAACACACACAAAAAUAUUAUAUUGAAGAAUAUGCUGUUAUAUGCUGCUUCAUAAUAAAUUACUGUGCAGAUAAAUGGUAAUAUGCAGCACAUUUGUUUGUUUCAUUUUGUGUUUUAAAGCUUUCUCUUCCAGCAGACUGAUGUGAAUGGAGGCAGAGAACUUGUUUUAGUCAAUGUAGUAUCCCUUGCACUUUUCAUACUAUGUAGCACAUUAUAGAUACUCAAUAACUUGUUUUUAAUGAAUAAAUGGCAAAAUAUCAUAGGAGAAAAUUUUUAAGAUGAUUCUGUUUAUUAAACUAUCUCCCAGUACAUGUAGAUAAUCCCACCAUUAUUUUAUUAUAGAAAAUCUACAGUCGUUCCAACUUCUAAAAUGCAAUUAAGAACUCCAGUUAUGAUAAUCUUUAAGGAUCAUUCUUCUCUAAGAUAAUAUGUCUCUACAGCUUUUACUGCCUUUGAAAAUCCUCUCUGUCACAUCUCCUGAAGAAAACAGUUUCUUGUCCAGAUGAAUUACAGUGAAAAAGGAAAAGCAUUUAUCUGAACAUUAAAAUCCCUUUCCAUUACAACCCUGAAUUCUUUAGAAUAAUUCUUGUUCAUUUGGGUAAUUUCCGAUUACCUUAAACCAGUAUACUUGUUAUUCUCAUAAAGCGGAUGUACAAUUCUACCUGGUGUAACAUGAACUCCGGAACCAGGUUGCUUGGGUUUGAAUCCUAAGUCUACCAGGUAUAAGCUCUAUAACCUUGAACAAGCCACUUAAUAUUUCCAUGUCUCAGGUUCCUGAUCUCCAAAUAAGUAAAAUAAAAAUAAUUAUAUCAAACCCUUAAUUUAAAGUUUAACUCAGUUAGUACAUGUGAAAUGCUAAGAACAUGGUUUGGCCGGUAGUAGCUGAGAAAAUGGACCUGUAGUAACUGCUAUGCAAAUAUUCUUUGAAAUAAAAACAAAACGAAAUAAAUAUGCUAAUCUUUUUACCAGAUUGCAUGACUAUUCAGUCUUAACAAAGUUGGCUAAGAUUAGGCCAACAUCAUCCAGAAAAAUGUCCUCAGUUAUAAACAGUAGGGAAAUCUUAGAAAGAAUGAUUGAAGCACACAAAGUAAACAACACAGGAAAAUUAGCGAUAUAUGUGUCUGCAGAAAAAUGAGAACCAAGGGUUCCUGAGGUAGAUGGUUAGGCAUUUCAUGUGUGUAAAAGAUUCCAAUUAUAAAUCUGGAAGACAAGGCACUGGUAGAGUACCUGACCCUAAUAAAUAAAUACUCAUUAAAAUUUUGCUUAAUUUAGUAUAAAUAAAUUUAAUUAAUUAUUCAGUUAACUGGUAAAUGAAAUAGUUGUUUGACUAUAAGCCAAGUCACUUGACAUGUCUAGGUUCUGUUUCCUCAACUGUUAAAUAAGGAAAAUUAUCUAGAUCAGCAUUUCCUUAAUUGUGUUCAACUCAAGACUGGGUUCUUAGAGUUGUUAAUCAGCUCUUGGAAACAAAUCCAUGGUUGAAUAAUUUUAGGAAAACCCAUAUGCUAUCUUUCUCUUGCAUUUACAAACAAACUGGUAUAGUAGACAUUUUAAGAUCUUUUAUUGUAAGGAAAUUUUAUUUAUCUGACAAUUUCCCAAACUUAAUUGACCAUUGACUCUUUUCCUCUGGUUUCUAGCCUAUUGGUAUUUCACAGAAUUACUGCUAUUCUGAACAAAAAUUGGAAAUAAUACUACUCAAUGUUUGGUGUGUGGCUCAGUGUCAGUCUGCAAAUUAUUUACCAGUCUAUAACAGAAUAAGUACAAAAACUAAGAGCAGGCAUUUAAAAACUUUUAUAGCAAUUUGACACAGUAAUUUUAUGUUUAUUGAAUCUAAUAAUGAAAAUCAGGGAUUGUAUUUUGUAGGUUUUCCCUUCAUUGCUUUUUUCCUUAUAAAU